Non-coding RNA from Rhincodon typus (whale shark), 82 nucleotides. The record is from the annotation of a RefSeq genome assembly. NCBI's taxonomy places the organism in Eukaryota, Metazoa, Chordata, Chondrichthyes, Orectolobiformes, Rhincodontidae.
GUAGUCGUGGCCGAUUGGUUAAGGUGAUGGAUUACGAAUUCAUUGGGGUUUCCCCGCGCAAGUUCGAAUCCUGCCGACUACG